This 384-nucleotide ribosomal RNA is filed under the name uncultured bacterium. RNAcentral's name for it is "bacterial SSU rRNA". It matches the Rfam family "Archaeal small subunit ribosomal RNA", at positions 339 to 725 of the family's 1478-position model. The record is from RNAcentral.
UCGCGAAAACUUCGCAAUGAGGGCAACCCCGACGAGGGAAUUCCAAGUGCCAGCACUUUGUGUUGGCUGUUCUCCUGUCUAAAAAACAGGAGGAGUAAGGGGCGGGUAAGACGGGUGCCAGCCGCCGCGGUAAUACCCGCGCCCCUAGUGGUGGUCGAUAUUAUUGAGCCUAAAGCGUCCGUAGCCGGUCUUUUAAAUCCUUGGGUAAAUCGGGCAGCUUAACUGUCCGAAGUCCGGGGAGACUGGGAGACUUGGGACCGGGAGAGGUAAGAGGUACUUCCGGGGUAGGGGUAAAAUCCUGUAAUCCUGGAAGGACCACCGGUGGCGAAGGCGCCUGACUAGAACGGAUCCGACGGUGAGGGACGAAGCCCUGGGGCGCAAACG